UGGGGAAUAUUGGACAAUGGGCGAAAGCCUGAUCCAGCCAUGCCGCGUGUGUGAAGAAGGUCUUCGGAUUGUAAAGCACUUUAAGUUGGGAGGAAGGGCAUUAACCUAAUACGUUAGUGCUUUGACGUUACCGACAGAAUAAGCACCGGCUAACUCUGUGCCAGCAGCCGCGGUAAUACAGAGGGUGCAAGCGUUAAUCGGAAUUACUGGGCGUAAAGCGCGCGUAGGUGGUUUGUUAAGUUGAAUGUGAAAUCCCCGGGCUCAACCUGGGAACUGCAUCCAAAACUGGCAAGCUAGAGUAUGGUAGAGGGUGUGGAAUUUCCUGUGUAGCGGUGAAAUGCGUAGAUAUAGGAAGGAACACCAGUGGCGAAGGCGACCACCUGGACUGAUACUGACACUG
RNAcentral lists this ribosomal RNA (400 nucleotides) under uncultured bacterium. RNAcentral's name for it is "bacterial SSU rRNA". It matches the Rfam family "Bacterial small subunit ribosomal RNA", at positions 355 to 748 of the family's 1533-position model. The record is from RNAcentral.